GUGGUUAAGAGCUCAGUGGUUAAGAGCACUGGCUGUUCUUCCAGAGGUCUUGGGUUCAAUUCCCAGCAACCACA
Molecule: non-coding RNA, 74 nt
Organism: Cricetulus griseus (Chinese hamster)
Lineage: Eukaryota; Metazoa; Chordata; Mammalia; Rodentia; Cricetidae
Source: Rfam